This 497-nucleotide ribosomal RNA is filed under the name uncultured bacterium. RNAcentral describes it as "partial 16S ribosomal RNA". It matches the Rfam family "Bacterial small subunit ribosomal RNA", at positions 28 to 507 of the family's 1533-position model. The record is from RNAcentral.
GAUGAACGCUGGCGGCGUGCCUAAUACAUGCAAGUCGAGCGAACAGACGAGGAGCUUGCUCCUCUGACGUUAGCGGCGGACGGGUGAGUAACACGUGGAUAACCUACCUAUAAGACUGGGAUAACUUCGGGAAACCGGAGCUAAUACCGGAUAAUAUAUUGAACCGCAUGGUUCAAUAGUGAAAGACGGUUUUGCUGUCACUUAUAGAUGGAUCCGCGCCGCAUUAGCUAGUUGGUAAGGUAACGGCUUACCAAGGCAACGAUGCGUAGCCGACCCGAGAGGGUGGACGGCCACACUGGAUCAGAGACACGGCCCAGACUCUUACGCGGAGCCGCAGUAGGGACUCUUACGCAAUGGGCGAAUGCCUGACGGUGCAACGCCGCGUGAGGCAUGAUGGUCUUCGGCUCGUAAAACUAUGAAAUUAGGGAAGAACAAAUGUGUAAGUACCUAUGCACGUCUUGACGGUACCUAGUCAGAAAGCCACGGCUAACUACGUG